GUCGAGCGUCGGGUCAUGCCAAAGCUGUAUCGCGUUUCGCCGUUGGUCUCCAGCGGUCCCGAUAUGCC
Molecule: small RNA, 68 nt
Filed under: Sinorhizobium meliloti 2011
Lineage: Bacteria; Pseudomonadati; Pseudomonadota; Alphaproteobacteria; Hyphomicrobiales; Rhizobiaceae
Description: putative ncRNA
Source: RNAcentral